UCCCUGGUGGCUCAGACGGUAAAGCGUCUGCCUACAAUGCAGGAGACCCAGGUUCAAUCCCUGGGUUGGGAA
This 72-nucleotide transfer RNA is filed under the name Muntiacus reevesi (Reeves' muntjac). It matches the Rfam family "tRNA". Rfam says of the family: Transfer RNA (tRNA) molecules are approximately 80 nucleotides in length. Their secondary structure includes four short double-helical elements and three loops (D, anti-codon, and T loops). RNAcentral also lists the same sequence under 4 other names. The record is from Rfam by way of RNAcentral. Lineage: Eukaryota; Metazoa; Chordata; Mammalia; Artiodactyla; Cervidae.